ACUCCUACGGGAGGCAGCAGUGGGUAAUCUUGCGCAAGGGGGCCAAGCGGAAUGCAGCACAUGCCGGGAGACCAAGAAGGCCUUCGGGUUGUAAAG
This 96-nucleotide ribosomal RNA is filed under the name uncultured Enterobacter sp. RNAcentral describes it as "partial 16S ribosomal RNA". Lineage: Bacteria; Pseudomonadati; Pseudomonadota; Gammaproteobacteria; Enterobacterales; Enterobacteriaceae. The record is from RNAcentral.